UGGCUCUGAAGAAACAGUCACAUGUCUUACAUAAAGUUUUGUUUUCCAGAGGCUCCGAAAGCCAC
This 65-nucleotide small nucleolar RNA is filed under the name Sorex araneus (European shrew). RNAcentral describes it as "Small nucleolar RNA SNORD22 (ENSSARG00000019668.1)". Lineage: Eukaryota; Metazoa; Chordata; Mammalia; Eulipotyphla; Soricidae. The record is from RNAcentral.